Molecule: long non-coding RNA, 355 nt
Organism: Xenopus laevis (African clawed frog)
Lineage: Eukaryota; Metazoa; Chordata; Amphibia; Anura; Pipidae
Exons: 2
Source: RefSeq, a predicted model, not a curated record
CACAUCCCGUCUCUUUUCGGCGCAUGCGUAUUUUUCAAACCCAGAAAUUCACUACAACUGCGCAUGUACCAAAAAUCCACUCGAUUCAUGAGAUUUAGAAGAUGGUGGCUGGGAGCACUCACUCUGCUUUUCCGGUCGCUAUUUCUUGAGCGAGAAGGAUUCAGGGCUGCUGUUGGAUUCCUCACAUCCUGACUCCUUUUGUCGCCAUCAUUUUGUGCAGUUUUCUAUUGUUUUGCCAGGAAUGGAAGUGGUACUCUAAAGAAAAUCUUUGGUUUUAUUUAUUGUGUCUUAGAUUUGUUGUAUGAUCCUGCUUCAUGUUUUCAUUUAUGUUUUAAUAAAAUUAUAAAUAAAAUUA